Molecule: ribosomal RNA, 270 nt
Filed under: uncultured archaeon
Lineage: Archaea
Description: partial 16S ribosomal RNA
Rfam family: Archaeal small subunit ribosomal RNA
Source: RNAcentral
CAGCACCUCAAGUGGUCAGGAUGAUUAUUGGGCCUAAAGCAUCCGUAGCCGGCUCUGUAAGUUUUCGGUUAAAUCUGUAUGCUCAACAUACAGGCUGCCGGGAAUACUGCAGAGCUAGGGAGUGGGAGAGGUAGGCGGUACUCGGUAGGAAGGGGUAAAAUCCUUUGAUCUAUUGAUGACCACCUGUGGCGAAGGCGGUCUACCAGAACACGUCCGACGGUGAGGGAUGAAAGCUGGGGGAGCAAACCGGAUUAGAUACCCGAGUAGUCC